UACGGAGGGUGCAAGCGUUGUCCGGAUUUAUUGGGUUUAAAGGGCGCGUAGGUGGCCCGGUCAGUUCGUGGUGAAAGCGCGGGGCUCAACCCUGCGUCGGCCAUGAAUACUGCCGCGGCUGGAGCACUGUAGAGGCAGGCGGAAUUCCGGGUGUAGCGGUGGAAUGCGUAGAGAUCCGGAAGAACACCGGUGGCGAAGGCGGCCUGCUGGGCAGUUGCUGACACUGAGGCGCGACAGCGUGGGGAGCAAACAGG
RNAcentral lists this ribosomal RNA (254 nucleotides) under uncultured bacterium. Its description in RNAcentral is "partial 16S ribosomal RNA". It matches the Rfam family "Bacterial small subunit ribosomal RNA", at positions 524 to 776 of the family's 1533-position model. The record is from RNAcentral.